Molecule: long non-coding RNA, 766 nt
Filed under: Pogona vitticeps (central bearded dragon)
Lineage: Eukaryota; Metazoa; Chordata; Lepidosauria; Squamata; Agamidae
Description: lncRNA (ENSPVIG00000007606.1)
Source: RNAcentral
AUGUGUUGCUACCUGGGUGCUGUCAUGGGAAGCCACCCAAAAAUCAUCUGUGACUCAGAAACAGGACCCUUUAAUGACUGGUGGGCAGAAUUCUACAGCUUUUCCUUCGUCCAGAUACAGUACAGGCGUACCUCAUCUAUGACAGCCAGAGCUAAGUUGCACUGGGAUGUCAAGGAGAUAGUUAGCACACAUCCUUGGAUAUUCAGCAAAGUUCAAAAGGCUGUUUAUUUUAAAGUGUGCCAAGAUAAGAGUGGCAAACACGCUUGGUUAACUUCCAUGCGUUCCUUCCUUGUUGCUUGUUGUUAUCUUAGAUGUUGCAAAACCAAUGCCUUAUUUUCUCCUUAUGCAGAUUUUCCAAGAGAUACAGAUCGGACGCAGAUUGAGCCCAGCAUGUAUCUUACGUCGCUUCUUUCAGGGGGAGAAGCCAAGCCCCAUUUACGCUCCCUUCCCGCGCCUGUCAAGGUACCAUCUGCUGAUAUAGACGACGAGAUUCAGAGCUUCAGUUCUUUCCAUGGGAGUUCGGGCUCAUCUGGAGCAGAUACGCUGUGAGUCCUGCCUCCACGUCCCAGCCCACAAAACCGUAGGCGGCAAGAGAAAGAGUGGGAACAGCUGGAAAUAAUGUAGCUAUCGGCAACAUUUGGACAUCAAAUCCUCGUCCUAAAGUUUUUAAUAUACCACUGUGUGUUUGUGUGUGUGUGACUUGCAUGUGAAUAUGUACGUUUAUUUUUAAAAUAAAAUAUUUCCAUUUUGAAAAUGUGUUUAAUCU